RNAcentral lists this ribosomal RNA (728 nucleotides) under marine bacterium AK13_010. RNAcentral's name for it is "bacterial SSU rRNA". It matches the Rfam family "Bacterial small subunit ribosomal RNA", at positions 67 to 788 of the family's 1533-position model. The record is from RNAcentral.
CUGAACCUUCGGGGAACGAUAACGGCGUCGAGCGGCGGACGGGUGAGUAAUGCCUGGGAAAUUGCCCUGAUGUGGGGGAUAACCAUUGGAAACGAUGGCUAAUACCGCAUAAUAGCUUCGGCUCAAAGAGGGGGACCUUCGGGCCUCUCGCGUCAGGAUAUGCCCAGGUGGGAUUAGCUAGUUGGUGAGGUAAGGGCUCACCAAGGCGACGAUCCCUAGCUGGUCUGAGAGGAUGAUCAGCCACACUGGAACUGAGACACGGUCCAGACUCCUACGGGAGGCAGCAGUGGGGAAUAUUGCACAAUGGGCGCAAGCCUGAUGCAGCCAUGCCGCGUGUAUGAAGAAGGCCUUCGGGUUGUAAAGUACUUUCAGCAGUGAGGAAGGUGGUGUGCUUAAUACGUGCAUCAUUUGACGUUAGCUGCAGAAGAAGCACCGGCUAACUCCGUGCCAGCAGCCGCGGUAAUACGGAGGGUGCGAGCGUUAAUCGGAAUUACUGGGCGUAAAGCGCAUGCAGGUGGUUUGUUAAGUCAGAUGUGAAAGCCCGGGGCUCAACCUCGGAAUUGCAUUUGAAACUGGCAGACUAGAGUACUGUAGAGGGGGGUAGAAUUUCAGGUGUAGCGGUGAAAUGCGUAGAGAUCUGAAGGAAUACCGGUGGCGAAUGCGGCCCCCUGGACAGAUACUGACACUCAGAUGCUAAAGCGUGGGGAGCAAACAGGAUUAGAUACCCU